This is a long non-coding RNA of Pseudophryne corroboree (corroboree frog), 385 nucleotides long. RefSeq lists it as uncharacterized. The record is from RefSeq and is a predicted model, not a curated record. Lineage: Eukaryota; Metazoa; Chordata; Amphibia; Anura; Myobatrachidae. The transcript is spliced from 2 exons.
UCUAUACUCCCACCUCAGAGGCUGACAGGCCAUGUUCAUGCUGUUUGGAACACCGACCUUGGGCCAUUUGGACGUGUAUUGAUGCUAUGGACUGGCCCGCCCGUUCCCCAGACCUGAAUCCAAUUGAGCACAUCUGGGACAUCAUGUCUCGCUCCAUCCACCAACGCCACGUUGCACCACAGACUGUCCAGGAGCAUGCCCAGGCAUUGUAGGGAAGUCAUACAGGCACGUGGUGGCCACACACACUACUGAGCCUCAUUUUGACUUGUUUUAAGGACAUUACAUCAAAGUUGGAUCAGCCUGUAGUGUGUUUUUCCACUUUAAUUUUGAGUGUGACUCCAAAUCUAGACCUCCAUGGGUUAAUAAAUUUGAAUUCCAUUGAUAA